AGGAAUAUUGGUCAAUGGGCGUAAGCCUGAACCAGCCAAGUAGCGUGAGGGAAGACUGCCCUAUGGGUUGUAAACCUCUUUUGUGCGGGGAUAAAGUGUGGGACGUGUCCCAUAUUGCAGGUACCGCACGAAUAAGGACCGGCUAAUUCCGUGCCAGCAGCCGCGGUAAUACGGAAGGUCCGGGCGUUAUCCGGAUUUAUUGGGUUUAAAGGGAGCGCAGGCCGUCCUUUAAGCGUGCUGUGAAAUGCCGCGGCUCAACCGUGACACUGCAGCGCGAACUGGAGGACUUGAGUACGCACGAGGUAGGCGGAAUUCGUGGUGUAGCGGUGAAAUGCUUAGAUAUCACGAAGAACUCCGAUUGCGAAGGCAGCUUACCGGAGCGCAACUGACGCUGAGGCUCGAAAGCGCGGGUAUCGAACAGGAUUAGAUACCCUGGUAGUCCGCGCGGUAAACGAUGGAUGCCCGCCGUUGGGAUUUAGAUUUCAGCGGCCAAGCGAAAGCGUUAAGCAUCCCACCUGGGGAGUACGCCGGCAACGGUGAAACUCAAAGGAAUUGACGGGGGCCCGCACAAGCGGAGGAACAUGUGGUUUAAUUCGAUGAUACGCGAGGAACCUUACCCGGGCUUGAAUUGCAGGAGAACGAUCCAGAGAUGGUGAGGCCCUUCGGGGCUCCUGUGAAGGUGCUGCAUGGUUGUCGUCAGCUCGUGCCGUGAGGUGUCGGCUCAAGUGCCAUAACGAGCGCAACCCCUGUCCAUAGUUGCCAUCAGGUCGUGCUGGGCACUCUGUGGAGACUGCCGCCGUAAGGUGUGAGGAAGGUGGGGAUGACGUCAAAUCAGCACGGCCCUUACGUCCGGGGCUACACACGUGUUACAAUGGGGCAUACAGCGAGUUGGAUGUGCGCAAGUACGUCCGGAUCAAUAAAGUGCCUCUCAGUUCGGACUGGGGUCUGCAACCCGACCCCACGAAGCUGGAUUCGCUAGUAAUCGCGCAUCAGCCAUGGCGCGGUGAAUACGUUCCCG
This 1018-nucleotide ribosomal RNA is filed under the name uncultured bacterium. Its description in RNAcentral is "bacterial SSU rRNA". It matches the Rfam family "Bacterial small subunit ribosomal RNA", at positions 357 to 1376 of the family's 1533-position model. The record is from RNAcentral.